Molecule: long non-coding RNA, 465 nt
Filed under: Homo sapiens (human)
Lineage: Eukaryota; Metazoa; Chordata; Mammalia; Primates; Hominidae
Description: HSALNT0334901
Source: RNAcentral
GCAGGGCAGAUACUCAGCUCACAUACGUUACUGCAAACCCAUCUCUCAUGACUGCCUUGAAGAAAACUAAGUUUGGAGGGCAAACUGCCAUACGAAAAUGUGGAAAGACAGAUGAAUCUGCAGAGUCAAAGACAAGAUCUGCUUACCUGGAGCAGAAGCCAUAAACUGAGAAACUGGACUUCAACAGAAAGGGAGAAAUAAAGACUAUCCCAGGCUCUGAAAGACAUACGAAAGUAACUUCUUCAGGGAGAAGGAAAAUCAUAUAGAUAUCUGAAAAAUGAAAAAGAAAGACAUGUUAUUUUCUGGAGAUGGGGAGACAAGUGAACAGAUGUGGAGUUUACUGAAGCUUCAAAGAGUAAUUCAAUCCAGAUUGUGAAGAAGUCUUAGUGCCAAUUGCUCUGGCAGCCAUGUUAUGACCAUGAGACAAUCAGCCAUAGAAAGAAAUAUUCUGCAUGAUAGUUUAGA